GGCCAGCAAGCUACCAGAGGCCAACCUACUCCUGCUCUGGCAGUUGCUGCCACUGCUUAUCAGCAUCAGCAAGAAUGUGGCCACGACGAAGAUGACUGCUGGGAACCUCCCAUCUGCCUGGCACCAAACCUUCUGAGCCCACCCCAGGAGCUGCCCCUGGAUGUCCUGGCUCUGGAGACAGGGAAGGUGAUGAAGCUCUUCGAGUUCCUUAUUGAACACCAUGAGGAACUCCUUGGAGAGCAGGUGGCUGGGCUGGCCAGCAAGGGGGAUGAGGAGACACCAGCAGCACAAGCAGAGCUGGAAACAGCAGAGGUGCCUCCUGUUGCUCCUGAGAGUGAACAGCAGACGAGAUUUUCCAGGGAGAAAGGGUAAAACUGCCUGGCUUUGCUUGGCUCAGGGUAACCAUGGCUUUACCUGUCUCACAAUACUAUUGAAUGGAAAGGUUCUCAGGCUCUUCACGCAACACCAGGAAAUGAAGAGCAGCCUGGGAAAAGGGCAGCGACGGGCCACUGUGCCAGAAGAAGAGCAAAACUGAGCUCUCAGGGAUGGGCAACUGAAGAAAUUCAAGCAGGGGAAGAACAAGGCACCCAGGUAUGUAGCAGAGCCUGUGUUCCAUCUUUUUGCCAAGCUCUGAGUAUAGGAAACACUCCUGAGGUGCACAGUAUGGUCCUUCCCUCUGGGGAACAUGUAUGUCAGGAGAAACAUGCUCACCCAGCAUUGCCUGCCAACCUCUGAUUUUAGUAUGGCAAAGCAAGGGAUGCUGCUGCUAGGUUU
Molecule: long non-coding RNA, 774 nt
Organism: Pezoporus occidentalis (night parrot)
Lineage: Eukaryota; Metazoa; Chordata; Aves; Psittaciformes; Psittacidae
Exons: 3
Source: RefSeq, a predicted model, not a curated record